RNAcentral lists this ribosomal RNA (253 nucleotides) under uncultured bacterium. RNAcentral's name for it is "partial 16S ribosomal RNA". It matches the Rfam family "Bacterial small subunit ribosomal RNA", at positions 524 to 776 of the family's 1533-position model. The record is from RNAcentral.
UACGAAGGGCGCUAGCGAUGCGCGGAGUGACUGGGCGAAAAGGGCGCGUAGGCGGACUGCACAGUCAGGCGUGAAAUUCCUGGGCUUAACCUGGGGACUGCGUCUGAGACGUGUGAUCUAGAGUGAAGAAGAGGGUCGUGGAAUUUCCAGGGUAGAGGUGAUAUUCGUAGAUAUAGGAAAGCACUCCGGUAUCGAAGGCGGCGACCUGGUCCUUGACUGACGCUGAGGCGCGAAAGCGUGGGGAGCAAAGAGG